This is a long non-coding RNA of Physeter macrocephalus (sperm whale), 636 nucleotides long. RefSeq lists it as uncharacterized. The transcript is spliced from 3 exons. Lineage: Eukaryota; Metazoa; Chordata; Mammalia; Artiodactyla; Physeteridae. The record is from RefSeq and is a predicted model, not a curated record.
GUUGUUUGGAGUCCACUAAUGCUGAUUUUACUCAAGAGUUUGUUGUUUUUCAGGGCAACCAUGGAUUAUUAUGACUACUAACAUUUGCUGUUUAUUGAGUGUCUAUGGUGUAAAAAGAAAAGGGAAUGUGUCCAUCUUCAAAAAGCUGGCAAACACACUACAUGUGGGCUGGGAAGGGGGUACAUUUCGUUCUGGCUGAUCAACAGAUGGUCCCACAACAGCCCUUGGAGGCCUCACAGGUCACACAAACCCACUUCUCAUUCCCCACCUGGGCCACAGAGAGAGCCACAUGGGCAUAAAUUGCAGCCAAGACAGUGAAGUCUCCUACAGUAAAUGCAAGUAACUACAGACAAUAAAGAGAACUCAAAAAGACUCCAAAAAAUGACUCCAAGCAGAUUCUUCAUAGCACCAUGGGUUUUAUUGAAAAGUGGAAGGAACUCUAAUAUCUUCAAAUCCAGUCUCCCUGUCCUCCACACAACAGUCCUGUCAGAUAAAUUUUAGUGCCUGUUUGAACCAUUCCAAGGUCUGGGAUUCCUCAAUUUUGUGAGGAACUCACAGUGACAAGAGAUGAUAAUGGCAUUGAGCGAUGAAACGUAAUGUGGGUGGAAGACAUUUCUUGCUUUGGAUACCAGUAAG